Molecule: ribosomal RNA, 253 nt
Filed under: uncultured Opitutus sp.
Lineage: Bacteria; Pseudomonadati; Verrucomicrobiota; Opitutia; Opitutales; Opitutaceae
Description: partial 16S ribosomal RNA
Rfam family: Bacterial small subunit ribosomal RNA
Source: RNAcentral
UACAGAGACUGCAAGCGUUAUUCGGAUUCACUGGGCGUAAAGGGUGCGCAGGCGGCCGUGUGUGUGAGGCGUGAAAGCCCGGAGCUCAACUCCGGAAUUGCACCUCAAACUACAUGGCUAGAGCAUUGGAGAGGGUAGCGGAAUUCACGGUGUAGCAGUGAAAUGCGUAGAUAUCGUGAGGAACACCAGAGGCGAAGGCGGCUACCUGGACAAUUGCUGACGCUCAGGCACGAAAGCGUGGGGAGCAAAAGGG